Molecule: long non-coding RNA, 2185 nt
Organism: Gymnogyps californianus (California condor)
Lineage: Eukaryota; Metazoa; Chordata; Aves; Accipitriformes; Cathartidae
Exons: 3
Source: RefSeq, a predicted model, not a curated record
ACUGGAAGUUGCUGUGAGGUCCUCACACCACCUCUGGGAUGCCGUAGGGAGAGAACAUGAUGAAUUUAUGGCUGAGAACAGUGUUUUGCUUCUUCCUAUGACAUCUAGAAAUGGCCAUUAGGCAGGCUGGGAAGAGGAGGAGAUGCACAGAUGCUGAAAGGAGUUGGAGAUGAGAUGCUGUGUUGGGCAGCGCUGGCUUGGCUGAAUAUUGAUAUUGGCUCCAACACAAGGAGGCACAACAAUAUCUAAGGAGCAGCAGUCGCAGGCAGGCUCUCAGGAAAGCCUUUCAUCUCUAAACCAGGCCUGGCCACAUGGCUGCGAGGCUCAGAGAGAAGCAAAACAACCGUUUCUGCCCUGGACACACAGGGAAAACGAGCAGCAUGAGAAGGCUGUGGAUAUACAGGAGCGAGUCCAGUGGAGGCCACCAAGAUGUGGAGGUGGACAGAGCACAGGACAGAUGAGGAGAGGCCAAGAGCACCAGGUCUGUUCAGAAAAGAAGGCUUGGGGGAUGAUACUGCUGUCUGCAACUACCAAACAGGGGGGUUAUUGAGAGGACAGAUGAAUGCAACACAAAGAAAUUCAGAGUAAAGCUUCCCGAGGAACAGACUCAAAGGAAAUGCAAUGCUUCCCACCAUCCCCACAUCUCUGUGCUCCCUUUCUCCUGCCCCUCCUGAACUGGCAGAGUGCCUCACAUGGGUUUUUGCUUGUACACCUCCAUUUGUUUUCUACUGGUGCAAUCUUUUCCUCUUUAAAUAGCGCUCCCAGCAGCCACAAGAUGGAAAGAUGAGUUACGUCUGGCUUAUGAAGUUGCCAGCUGGAGAUACAAUGAACUGUACUUAGAUCAUAAAUCACGUGCCUGACCCCUCUUCCAACCGUGGCUCGGCUACAACUUCUCUAAUGAGAGAAACAGUCGAAGAGUGGAAGCAGCACUUUGUCCUGGUCAGGAAUAAGAAGCUUGCAGCUUCCAGCUGGUACUUGGGUGAGCGUAGUUUAGCCCCAAAACCUCUCUUAGAGGAUUAUCCCUCUAAAAAUAUCGCACUCGUGAUUCGAUGGGGCAUUGAUCAUGCAGGCUUUUAUUAAUGACAGGACUGUGAUGAUCAGCCAGGUAGCAAAUACAGGGUAAUUCUUCCAAAGUGCUGUGCAGUUGUGGAUGAAGACAAUGUCAGGACGCAGAGGAAUUAUGAGUGCUCAUGAGGAGUUUAAUGCUGUGCACAAAUGGACUGAUGAGAUCCUUGGAUGAAUAAAAUGGAAAAAGCUAAGCAGAGAUAUGGGCUGGUAUUGGCACUUACUGACUUGCCUACACAUCUAAAAGCACAAGUAGGAAAACCGGGAGAUCUCAGAGAAGGGUCAUCUCUAAAAGCCACUUUACAGGGAGAAACCUAAUGGUCUCAAUCCAUUUGGUUUGUCUGAAGAUUGAGAUGGUUUGAACACAAUUUUGUAAGAAUCUGUGCGAGGAGACUAUGCUUCCAGGUCCAUUUAUUUAAGGGCUUGUUUAUAUACAGGGCUUUUAAAUCUAGCAGGUAAAGCCAUAAAAAAGAUUAAGGAUAGGAUGCCCUAAUGUUUUUAUGCAGGGAGCAUAAUAGACCCUCAGACGCUCCACCACAACUCCAGGCAAGCUGUUCCUUCAUGCAGCAUUUCAAAGCCAGAUUUUGAUGACUCUUUAAAAAGCCAGGGUGUAGCUAGAGGUAAAACCUCUUGCUAAGCCAGCUGGAACAAGCAAACUGAUGCUCUGGGGGGUCUGACUAAUGCCCAGCGCUGGGUCUCUCAGAGCAGGUGCCUUUCCAUGGAGCAAGGAGCAUCCAUGGAUGGCUGGGGACUGUCCCCACACCUUGCCAAGGAGGAGGCUUGUUGCACACCAGCCUCCAACCGAAGUGUUGGGGAAGAGGACAGUGGCCAGCCGGGCAGUGGCUGAUGGCCCAGGAGAUGCCGCAGUUCAGGCCACUCACUCUUGCAUCUGCACGCAGAGCCCACCAAGGACAUUGGGGAGAAAACAGGCUCUGCUCCUCUCCCUCCUCGCCUCCUGUUCCCUUUAUUUUUCCCUGCCUUGUUGCUGGGUAACUCUGUUUGCCCAGCAUGGAAGGACUCUGUUUUCAGAAGAACUCAAAACCAAAGCGUUUCUUCUUCAAACAUAGAAAUGAUUAAUCAGAAACUUUGCUUGCUUUUUUUGGUUUAGAUUUUCUAUAUA